GCCGAUUGCAGCCCAGGAUCAUUAUCAUCUCUCCACCUUUUCCCUGGGGCAGAAGUGGCCAGCACGGAUUUCUCCCUCUCGCCCUUGAACCCUUCCGUCGUGUCCGGCACCACCUGCAACUUUGGAAAAACGCACGACAAAGCUACCCGAAAGGGAAUGGCGGGCUCUGCGAGCAGGGUCCGAGCCACCUCCCGUUUCCCCACCCAUCCACCCAAAAGGCCAGGUAAGCCGUUUUGAACCACCCUUUCUUCGGUCCUUGACUUUGAGCCGAAACGGAGCCAGGGGGAAAGGAACGGAGCGCGCCGCGUGGCUCCGGGUUUUAACCGGCCCUGUCAGCCCGUUUUUCUCCUUCUGGGCUCUCACUUCUGCACGUGCUCCUUUGUUCUCCACAACAGAAGCUUUUUAUAUACUUCUCAUAAUAUGAGCCAGCUGGAGGGAGGCACAAACGGAGGGAAGGAUCGGAGGGAAGCCCCGCAAACGCGCCGCCCCAGAGCUCGUCUUUCUUAAGAGCUGGCAGACGGGCGAAGGAGACGGGCAGCUCGGGAGGAGAAGAAGGAGGAGGAGGAGGAGGAGAAGAGGAAGAGACGUCCAAGGCUGGGGCUGCUGACAAAACUUUAGCGCGGCGGAGACAGAAAGGAAGAGAAAGAAAGAAAGAAAGAAAGAAAGAAAGAAAGAAAGAAAGAAAGAAAGAAAGAAAGAAAGAAAGAAAGAAAAAGAAAGAGACUGUAUAAAAGGCUCCAGCUGGAUGUAACUGAACACUUUCCUGAAAGGCACAUCGAGACGGACGGACGACGAACAGCGUCGCGAAGGUGGACAAAGGCAGGAGCUGAAACCAGACAACUCAACUUGUCCGCCGGGCCUGGACCAGACAGAAAAGACCCCCCGAGAUGUUCCGGAGACUCCUAAAGAUGUUCAGUUGGAUAGUGGCUGCUCACAAGAUAUCUCGGAAGGAAGCCUCAAGACUUGGGAAUGGACCUGCACUUUGGCGGCACUGUCUAGGGGAGGACAGAUCCCAAAAAAGGAUCCACUACAAAAAAAACACGGGACAUGUUGGAAUAUUUGCAAACCAAGGGAAACUGGUUUCUUCCCACCACGCUGAGCUAAAUAAAACCAAGAAUUCUAAGGA
Molecule: long non-coding RNA, 1126 nt
Organism: Pantherophis guttatus
Lineage: Eukaryota; Metazoa; Chordata; Lepidosauria; Squamata; Colubridae
Source: RefSeq, a predicted model, not a curated record